Molecule: ribosomal RNA, 253 nt
Filed under: uncultured bacterium
Lineage: Bacteria
Description: partial 16S ribosomal RNA
Rfam family: Bacterial small subunit ribosomal RNA
Source: RNAcentral
GACAGAGGGCGCAAGCGUUGUUCGGAAUUACUGGGCGUAAAGCGUGUGUAGGCGGUCUAUUAAGUCGGAUGUGAAAGCCCUGGGCUCAACCCAGGAAGUGCACUCGAAACUGGUAGACUUGAGUAUCGGAGAGGUUGGUGGAAUUCUCGGUGUAGAGGUGAAAUUCGUAGAUAUCGAGAGGAACACCAGUGGCGAAGGCGGCCAACUGGACGAAUACUGACGCUGAGACACGAAAGCGUGGGGAGCAAACAGG